GUAGAGCGUACAGAAACUGAUGGAGUAAGCUAAAGUGUGAGGGAUUGCUCCUCACUUUGUCCGCGAGUAAAUCUUCACUUUAUCAGGCGCUGUCAGGCAGGCGCCUCCACACGAGACUGAAAUAGCCGAGCGGUGCAGCUCCGCGUUAAGUGUAGUCUGCGGAUAAACGGAUUUUCCCUUUACUACCAGGACUAAAUUGACUCGCGAUUCAGAGGGAGAGUUAGUCAGACGGAGAGACAGCCUGACAGGCGGGCAGGCAGAGAGGCUGAUGAUGGUGCUCUAAGCGCGACCAGAUCCUCAUCCCGUCUUUCCUACCGUGCAGCUGAAAUGAGAAGGACCAGGACUGUGAUAGAAAGUGGAUCAGCUGUUGCCGGCCUGAGCUGAAGGUGACCUGUUGGCUGGGCCAAGGGCUGCAACACAGGACAUGGGUCCUGCUUCCCCUCCCCGCUCGUGUCUUGUGUUGCAGCCAGUGGAGCUGCCUGUCUGCCUCUCUGACGGUCUGUCAGCCCACUGCUGAUGGACUGAGCUCCCAUAACAGAUGGAUCCUACCAACCAUGGACCUGCUGACCCUGCUCCUCACUUUACAACAAAACUGUGCUGUAUCACUGUCAUUUUCACUGUAGUUUUCAACAUCAAUAUAUUGUCCUCUCUCACAGUUUAAAGGAAAUAAAAUACUUUAAAGGAAAA
Molecule: long non-coding RNA, 687 nt
Organism: Seriola dumerili (greater amberjack)
Lineage: Eukaryota; Metazoa; Chordata; Actinopteri; Carangiformes; Carangidae
Exons: 2
Source: RefSeq, a predicted model, not a curated record